AUGAAUAACUUUGCUGCACAAGGAAACUCAGGUACGGAUUGGGUCUUUGAUUCAGAGGCCUCUAGUCAUAUGUCUGCAUCUAGUAAUUGGUUAUCUUCUUGCACUAAAUCUCCUUUCCCUUCCAUUAUCCUUGGAGAUGGAUCAUCUAUUUCUAUAUAUUGUGUUGGUCAGGCUCAACUUCCCUCUUCCACCAAACCUCUUUUACUUCGCGAUGUUCUAGUUGCACCCGCCCUCAUUAAAAAUCUUAUCUCUGUUCGCCAAUUUACUUGCGACAAUCUAGUUUCGGCUGAAUUUGACCCUUUGGUUUAUCUGUGA
Molecule: ribosomal RNA, 315 nt
Filed under: Triticum aestivum (bread wheat)
Lineage: Eukaryota; Viridiplantae; Streptophyta; Magnoliopsida; Poales; Poaceae
Description: partial small subunit ribosomal RNA
Source: RNAcentral